Non-coding RNA from Zootoca vivipara (common lizard), 2561 nucleotides. NCBI's taxonomy places the organism in Eukaryota, Metazoa, Chordata, Lepidosauria, Squamata, Lacertidae. The record is from RefSeq and is a predicted model, not a curated record.
UGGCUGCAGGAGGGUCUGGUGGAAGGUUUGCCUUUCGCGGGCGGCGGGGCUCUCGAGGCGGCGUGGGGGGGGGAGAGGGCGGCGUGUGCGGCCUUCCCUUUUCUCUCCACGCGCUUCACCAUAGGACGUGGACGGGGCUGCUGCUGGCAAGAGCUUAGCCUUAAUAAAUGGUCAGGGUGCCGAACCAGGACCUGGUUCGAACUCCGCACUCUGCCAUUAUGCUCACCUGGGGUGGCCCUAGCGGUGCCGGACGCUGCCUCUCUUAGCCUAGCCUAACCUUCCUCGCAGGGUUGUCGUGGGGAUUGAGUGAGACGGGGAGAGCCAUGUAUACCACCUCGAAUUCCUUGUUGGAGAAAAGGGGUAUAAAUGCAGUAAAUUAAUAUUAUCGCCUCGCCGCCGCCGCCAAAAUAGUCUUUUCUUCAUUGCCUUACUCCUAUAGUUAACAGUACGCGGGAGUUUACUUCCCAGGGCCCAGGGGUGCUCAUUUGGACUUUCAGCAAGACUGCCUUGCCUCUCUUAGAUUGAUUAGUGGGCCAUGGAGUAAGGUGGUUUGUGGCAACAUGUAGAUCAGGCAUCCCCAAACUUCGGCCCUCCAGAUGUUUUGGACUACAAUCCCCAUCAUCCCUGACCACUGGUCCUGUUAGCUAGGGAUCGUGGGAGUUGUAGGCCAAAACAUCUGGAGGGCCGCAGUUUGGGGAUGCCUGAUGUAGAUCUUCUGCUCUUGUGGGUAAGAAUGUAAAAAGACUGGGCCCAAUGGCCCAUCUGGUCCAACAUCCUGUUCUCACAGUGGCCAGUAAGAUGCCUGUGGGAAACCUGCAAACAAGACCUGAGCACAGGAGCACUCCUGUGAUUUUCAGCAGCUGGGACUCGGAAGCAAUACUGCCUGGGAUGGUGAAGUAGUGGAACCACCCCCAGGGUAAAAGCUAUUUGCAUUUGGACAAGUUGACUCUACCAUUUUGGAAGUACUGCAUUUUUUUCCUUGAGGUACUGAUGGGCCAAAAACAGUACAGAAAAAGGAUUCUCGUAGGUAAGUAUGACUUAUUUGAGAUCUACCUAAGAGGUUCUAGAUGCAUGCAGGGGGACCUGUUACGUAUUAGGCCAUAUGCUAGAGAUACAAAUUGUAUAUUUCUAUUGUACAGUAGGCCUUGGAGAGGGGAAAAGAAUGACUAGGGACACUAGAUCUCAUUUGUGCAUUAUCACAUGCCUUAUUGGUCCCUCUGUGUGUUCUUGUUUUUAUUAAUUAGCAAGCCAUUGUGCCUCUCAUCAGUGGAAGCUCAGUGCUUGAAAUAUGGCUGCUUUAAUAAUUUGUCCUAAUAUUCCAUACUUAGCAGAAGCCACUGUCCCUGUAAUUUUGAAAAAUGACUUGGAAUGUCUUCUUACAUUUCAAAAUAAACUUGGUGUAACUUAAAGAGUAAAUCAGCCAGCAGCAAAUACAGUUUGAGUACUACCGGUAUACAGAAUAGGUGUUGGGAUGAUUGCCUCAUUUAAGGUUGCUGAUUAAUUAUCACAAUGGGGAAUUGCUGCAGCUGCUUGGUGGGCAGCAGUUUUAUCAGGUAAGGCGUCUGGAGGCCUGAAAACAGAGAUAGGGAAAGCUCCAGUGCCUGACUAUCUGGGGUGCUCAUUGGACUGGGACCAACUGAUGGAGGAAUAAAAACCAGGCAAUACAAGUAUUCCAAGCCUGAACAUGAGAACUGCAACUAUUGGCAUGCUUUCCAAGUUGCUUUCUGCCUGUUCUUUCAUGUUGCUGAACUGGGCCUUCAUCUCCUGGAGGCAUGGAGCAGCUUGAGCUCUGCACUCUGUUAUUCCACAGGUAGCGUAUUAGUUUUGUUUACCUUUGUUCAUGGAGUGCUAAACUAUCAGGCCACCUUGGCACAGGGAGCCCUUGUGUGCAGUUUUGGAACUCCUCUGUAAAGGUGGCCGACAUCAUUCCCUCAAAGUGUGAAACACUUAGGAUCUGUCCCAAGAGUGUAUUUGAACUUUAAAAGCUGUACUCAGGCAUCUCAUUCUCUGUACUUACCAUAAGUCUCAUACCAGCCUGGGGAACUUUAGGUUCAGGGUAGUAUUCAACUACAUUUUACUCAGAAUAGACUAACCUGGUUGUGUUCAUUUCAGCGAGUAAAACUUAGUUGAACACCACUUUUCCCCCACCAAAUCAUGAAGUGAUCUUGGGCUAUUUGCCAUCUCCCCUUAAUUCACUACAUACAUGUGAUGAAUCAGUGUUUUGGGCUUGUAAAUUUCCAGCCAUUAGGCAAUCAUGGAUCUGGGACAUAUUCAAAAAUGCAGGGGAUUGUGAGUAACUCCUACUGUUACUCACAAAUAAAACACUUGCAAAUAAAGAGAAUCUCCAGUUUUAAUUCAGAAAUAAGUGGAUCUGUUCAAUUGGAGACUAUGGGGAAACACUAGCUUCUGAUUUUAGGUGUGAAGCUUCUGACUUGACUUUUCCUUGCCAUAAUGACCAUUAUAACUUUUAUAUUCCAGGUAAGUGCUGUUGGAAGAGCAGUGCUCAGGUUCUGCAGAGGAAAGAGUUGUCAAAAUUCCAUUUUGUUCUCAUGUGUCAUUCU